RNAcentral lists this non-coding RNA (24 nucleotides) under Arabidopsis thaliana (thale cress). The record is from RNAcentral. Lineage: Eukaryota; Viridiplantae; Streptophyta; Magnoliopsida; Brassicales; Brassicaceae.
UACUGCCAUGAAUGGAUGGAAGUA